AAAGCUCUAUUGGUGGUANAAACGUGAAAUUACUUAGUAGGUGCAAAUACCUANUUGGUAAAUAAAAGACGAGAAGACCCUAGAAAUUUUUUACAAUAUGAUAAUGNCACGUUUUUGUUGGGGCAACAUGGUAGCAUUUAACCUACAUUANAUGACAUGACANUCGUAUAGUUAGAUUAAAUUACUCUAGGGAUAACAGCGUAAUUUUAUAAANGUUUGCGACCUCGAUGUUGGACUAGGAAGCAGAUACUUAGAAAGUAAAAAGCUAGGCUCUGUUCGAGCNUUAAUAUCCUACGUGAUCUGA
This 304-nucleotide ribosomal RNA is filed under the name Amplirhagada alta. RNAcentral describes it as "partial 16S ribosomal RNA". The record is from RNAcentral. Lineage: Eukaryota; Metazoa; Mollusca; Gastropoda; Stylommatophora; Camaenidae.